UUUCUGUUUUUAUGCCAGUACCAUACUCUCUUGAUUACUGUAGCUUUGUAGUAUAGUCUAAAGUCCAGAAGCCUGAUUCCUCCAGCUCCUGGAUGCAUUUUAAUAGAUGUCUGAGUCAGCCUCUUUUAUCCCCCUGCCUGGAAUGCUCUUUCCUCUGGUUUUGUUUUGAAAACUGCUUCUCAUCUUUUAAGACCCAACUCAAGAGUCCCUUUUUGAGAAGUUUUCACCCCAUCCUGACUACAGGGUUGAGCGCCCACUUAUUGGAGCCCCUGCAGUACUUAGUUCAGGCUCCUUGUAGCCUCUUCCUGCCAUGGUGGGUGCUGCCCACGAUUGGGCCAUUCACAGGGCGGCAGGCGACUCAGCUUGUCCUGGCACAGCUGCCCAGAAAAGGGAUCGGGGCCAUUCUCUCCAGGUAGCUGGGGCUGGGGCCCAUCGCAAACUAAGGCCCAAGCAUAGCCUGCUGGGGGAUGAAGUCAUGUGGAAAAACACUCGAGUCAGAACAAACCUGUCUUUCUGCAAAUGACUUCAUCACAUUGCCAGAAGGCUCGGAUCACUCCACCUCUCACCUCUUCCAGCCCACCCAUGGGAUCGGGAAAGACCAGUUCCUCGAGUCCUGUUGCAUCUCUCAGGCAAAAGUAAAUGUUACAGAGACCCACCCAUGAGGUGCUGGGGAGCUGAUGCCUCCACUUCCUCCACAGCUGGGGCUUCCUCUGAGCUCUCAGGCUGGGAAGGCCUUGAGGGCACGUCGGGGCCUUCUCCACAUCUGUGUUCACAGUGCCCAGCACAGAGACCAGCAAAAAUGUAAAAUAAAAUACUCACUCACUAAAUGCAUGUGUUCAUGAACUCUACAAAUACUCAGCAGUUCUUCUGCUCUUUCUACCAGCAUCACGGGGGCACUGGGGUUAUGCUCACAGAAAGAGGAAAUAAAGGAGGGAAAGAGGGCAGGAAGGAAGGAGUAAAUUCCUCACUAGGGUGAUAGAGCCCCACAAAGCAGACUGGGCCCUGAGAGAGGCGUCAAGGAAGCUGAGCUCUAGCUCUUAUUCCAGCAAAUACAUUUCUAUUCAACAGCUUUCUUGAGCAGAGCCUCUAUUCCCGCUGUGUGGUGGGCACCUAGGGGAGCCAUUCUAGUUCUCUGGCAGUGAAAGUCAUGCACGGGGGACGGACAAUAACAAUGACACGGUUACAGGCUGUAUUGGAGUUGUGGACAGGGUAGCGGGGGGCGCGCAGGAGGAGGUGCUGGGUGGGCUGGCCAAGGAGGUCAGCCUUGAAGGAUGAACACACCAGGCUGUCCAGGAGAUGGUGGAAAGGCUUUUGAGGCUGCAGGGUGCUUGGAAAAGGGCAAGCAAUUCCAUGUUUUGGGAGCAGAGGGUACGUAAAGGAAGUCGCAAUAGUUGGGGCUGGUGAGGCAGGCUGAGGGGCCAGACUGCGGGGGGGUGAGGUUCACUCUGCUGGAACAAGGAGCCAUUGAAGGGCUGAAGAGUAGAGCGUCCGGUCUGGGUGUCCAUUUCAGGAAAGGUGCUUUGGACUGGAUGGCAGAACGGCUAUAACGCAGUUACCAACCAGGGGAUCCCUGGAGUGGUUCAGAGGCAAGAGGGAGAUGGCCUAGAGUAGAGUAGUGGCAAUGGGUGGAGAAGAAGAGGAAAGAGAGAUAGUGAUGCUCAUUGCUGAUGGGACUUGGGGACCACUGGGAUGAGGUGGGAAGUGGGAUCUAGGGAUGUUCUGGUCUCUUAGAUUGUAAGUUAAAAUUUGGAUUCUAAUGCUAUGGCAGAGAAACUCAAAUCAGUGGCUGAAAGAAGAUAAAAGACCGGGUAGGCAGUCCCAGACUGCUAUGGUGAUUCCACAAUAGUCAGAGACCCAGACUCCUUCUAUCUCGUUUCUCUGCCAUCUUUGAUACCCAGCCGUGAUCAUGUGGCCCAGAAUGGCUGCUCCAACUCCCUCUGACACAUCUGCAUUCCAACCGGUGGGAUAAGGGAAAGGAGGAAGGGGGUGCACCCGUUCUUUUCAAAGAUAUGACUUAGAAAUCUGAUAACAUGCCAUUGGCCAAACUUAGAGGCAAGACCAUACAGUUGUAAGGGAUGCUGGGAAUUGUAGACUUCCAUGUGCCCAUCUAAAACUUCUUCCACUGUGGAGGAUGGAGAGAAGGGAUCUAUGGAAGAAAAGCUAGUGAUGCUGUGCAAGCCCACUGGCUUGUCUUAGUUUGAUAUUUCUUAUUUGAAAAAUACAUUCUGUGAAUUGUCAUACUUAUUUUUAACCAAAUAAAAUUUAAAUAUGAUCAAGUCUCUGCCAGCAGCAUGCUGUUUUCCUGGGAAAGUGAGGUCGCCCUAUUUGGCCUUCGUUCUCCCAACCGUUGAAGGAGACAUUGGAAAAUAUUCUUAACAUGGACCCCAUGGAGCUAGCCAAGGGGGGGCUUUUGGGGUCUGUGAAUACCAUGUAAUUAUAUGCUCAAUUUGGGGGUGUACAUUUUUUUCGGGAGAGUGACUAUGGCAUUCAAGGUUUAUGAGAGGUUUUUGACCCUAAAAAGUUGAGAAACAGAGUGAAAGAAUUACUCAUGGCCCUCCAUACCCAUAUUGUAUGAUUCCUUUCUACCCACCUUAUGGCACACGCUUGGAAAGGAGUCUGGGGGGAAGAAAAGGCAAUUGAAGGACACUGGGGAGGUUGGAGCAUGCGGCUCCAGCCUCGUCCUGACAGUGACCGCAUGGCGCGCGUGUGGUCUGCCGUCCAGGGGUCUUUCUCUCUAGUCCCUGCCCUGGCUGAAUUGGGACUUGGCUGGGUGUACACCUGGCACACUCUGCCUAACGUCUCCCAAGCAGUUCCCAAAGCUCCCAGCCAGGAGCCAGUUAGGAUUUCAGAGGCACAAGUGAGCCGCUGUGCUUGGCCUGCCAGGUGAAAAGAACAGAGCCCGUAUUAACGAGACGCUCCUCUCUUGGUAUCGGCUUUCGCUUUGCAGGCGAUGUCUCGGACCGGGAGCAAACCUGUCUCUCUGUCCGGAGCCAGGGAUUUGAUAUUGUCCUGAAUAGAGGUUUUCAUCCCCUAGCUAGUCGUCUGCCCUCCGUGGCGCCUGCCGCCAGUGCCAGGCUUGGCACGUGAGCCCCCAGCUGUAGGAGGAGUGGGUGAACGGGGCAGAACUGGGCUCAGCGGCUCCCCAAUCCACCCAGAUGUGGUGGAGGAGAAAGAGGCAUCCUGCGCUGGGAGAAGCAGCAAGGAAACAAGCGGAGAUCUGGCCGCACACGGAGCAAUCACUUGGCAGGAAGGGUCCUGAUGUACGGAUGGUGUGUACCACGUGGGAAUUUCUCCACAGCCCACGGAUGAGCCAGACUCAUCAGUGCGGCACCACCAUCCACAGUCAGGAAGGUACAGAGGGAAGCUAGAAACAAGGAUUUUAUCAAAGGGGAAAGGUCAAAGAGAAAAGCAUUGUGGCACCAGAAACACUUAGAGCAGGGGUGAGCAUCUCCAAACACAGAGGACGGGGAAGGAGAGGAGCGAAGGGUGGCUGAGGGACCAGCCCUGGACACACUUGGGAGAUGGGUCAGGAAGAAAGCAAUGUGAGGGGAGGAGGAGGCACAGGCUGCCAUGGAGGCCCCAGCUCGGGGUUCUGGCAGCUGGAAGAUGGUACCACCACCCCAGCAGAGCUAGGCUAGCAAGAGAGGUCAGGGCUGGGUGGCAGGGUGUGGCCCUGCAGGGGCCAGGGAGCUGGAGACAAGCCUAACAUCCUGACAGCUGGCCUGCCUCACUCUUACGUCUGCAGGCCCUCCAGCUCUUCCCCCUGCCCUGAGCUCUCACUCAGCGCAGCCUGGGGACUUGGCCCUGGCAGCCUUUGACUGCAGGUGUGGAACGGAGGAGGGCGGCCAAAGGAAAACAAACGGGAAGAAGGGAACCACUAUGCUUUCAAAGAGCUGCACACACAGGCUGGAGUCCUGGCUGCAAAACACUCAGUUGUCCGUCCUCUGGUUGAAGCCUGUGCGUUAGGGCAAGUCCUUAUAAACACCACUGAACUGAGGACAGCUCAACGGCACCGCCACUUACCACGCGUCCACGCGGGGCUAGGUCCUGGGAUGGGUGUGGCCAAGACAGAGACAAAUAAACCCCUUUCCUUGCCCUGAGAAAGCUCACAUUCUGGUCGGGGUGGAACCCAUAAGCUCUACUAAGAGCUUCCUGAAAGUCAACCUAGGGGUCUGACAUGCUUCUCUCGAAUUCGAGCCUCAUAGCAUGCUGUGUGGGAGGCCGAAUCCGCCACUGGAGCACACAGAGGUGCAGAGACGCUAGGCAACCUGCUUAGGACCGCACAGCUGGGUCAUGGGGGAGUGAAUUUUAAACCCAAGUCCAUGUGACGCUACUGCCUGCCUGUUUCCACCGGGGCAGACCCACACUCAGCUCUUUGGUUGGAGCGGUGUGGAAGGCCACUGCGGCUGGCUCGAAGCCCGAGGCUGGAGCUGCUCACAGGCCCUUCCACCGGACGUUGGCCAAGGCACAGUGACUCCUGAUUGGGUAGAUAGAUAAUCAAAGAGAUGAAAGGGCCUCCGGUUAAUAACCACCCACAGGGGACAAGGCUCCAGGCUCUGGAGGAGCUUGGAGGGAAUGGGUCAGGCCCUGCCCUCCAGGAGCUCACAGACCAGUAGGAAGUAGAUGCAAAUGUGUUAAGACCCACUCCACUGGCACCGGCCCGGACAAAUCUCUGUCCCUUCUGGGCAGAGUGACCUGAAGUGAGAGGGCGUCUCAGAACCUCAGUUUCUUUCUCUGUAUAACACAGGUAGUUGUGCCUAAUUUAUCGCAUCGCUGUGGAGAUUACAUAAAAUAAUGUGUGCUAAGUACAGGCCUGACACAGAGCAGGAGCUCCAGAAUGUCUGGCUCCCAGAGCUUCCAUGGGGUACUCACAGCCAGCGGGGGUCGAGCGUUCCCUGCCCCACACAGGCCCAGUGGGGAAUCCCUGCUCCCUUCUGGAGAGGGCAGCCUGGAGAGCUUCCACCACCAGCCGAGGACCAGGGAGGACGCAGAGGGCAACCGAGAGAGGUCCGGGGGCCUGGGUUAGCACCUGCCACCUAGAGAUGUGGGCCGGGCUGCUUGCCCCUCCGGGGAACAGCAGAGUCCUACGCCCCUGGCCUGCCCAGGCUCUACAGCAGAGGGUGCUAGUUUUGCCUAUGGGGCAGCCAAGCCUGGACUGGUGAGGUAAGAGUUGGUGGGCAUAUGCCUCAGUCCCUCGGCCUCACAGACGGCCCCCGGGGGAAUGAGCUAGAUACCUCUGCAUUAAUACGAGCUUAAUUUGCUUGUCUGUAUUUACUCUCUUGUUCCCUGUGUUCCCACCGUGCUCCUAGGUUGGGGUCACUUCCCAGAUAAACUACGUGCACCCAAAUCCUCGUCUUAGGGACUGCUCCUGGCAGCCCAGCUACAGAGAAAUGUGUGGCUGGGUCACUCCAUGGCUGGGGACUGGGAGGGCCCUGUGGCUGGGAGAUGCUGUCUCCAUGGCCUCCUGGCUCCAGUGUCGCCUGGCUUUUCCUCAACGUGGCUGCCUCACCCCCAUGCCAAAGUGUGGGAGAAGUCAGGACCUUCUGCUGGCCGUCUGGAUCAUACAGUGACCUUCGGCUCCGAGGACAUAAGCACCUUCCUCCAAGGGAGGACCAGGUAGGUGGGAAAAAAUGAAACUGCUUUAGGCUAGCUUCAGGAGGGGCAGGAGGGGGUUCUCCCACGCCUCCUGUGAAAUGGGUGUGCCGGCUUUGUAUUUAGAGAGAACGCCGUCAAGGGACAGGGGAAAAGCGGCUGACUCAUCAGUUCCUAAUGACACUAGCAGGCAGCAUCUGUGAGCCCUCCUGGGGCUUCGUCUCAGGAGGAGGGGGUGAUUUCCUUGCUGGUGCUCCAAUAUCAGAGUCCACAUCUCCACCUCCCUGAAGUGUGUCAUGCUCUGGCUUUUCCCAGGAAAACUGCCUAAUGCCAUGGCAAAAGCAAGGUAAUAAAAUAUUCAUCUGCUGAGGCCAGAGGACGUAACUGAUCGUUUCUUCCAGGAGAAGCAGAGUCCUAAAUUAAAGACAUGCACAGAGCCAGACAAACGCACAUGCCUGACCAGCAGACAUUCCCAGGCACGUGUCGGAACAACACAGCCUCGCAUAUACAAGAAAGCAUAUGCCUAAAUGCUCACACGUAGGCACAUGGGCCCCGGUCACACACCUAUGCAGCACACAAAACUGUUGAGGACACAUGGACGCCAUGUGUGAACGCAUGCAUGAACACUGCAUGUACCCGUGAACUCCCACCCUGUAUGCUCACCCACCCACAUGUCUACUCCCCCAACGUGGCAAUGAAAAAUGAUGUCUUAGCUGGUGUAUUGGGGGCAGAAGAGCCCACCACCGGGCCCUGACUUUGGAACAAUAGCAGCCUGUCUGGCUGUCCUGGGGAAACUGGGCUUUGUCAGGCAGAAAGCAAAUACUGUGCAGGGGGAAGUGUGACUCAGAGGUGAGUUACACAACUCCAUUCUGCCUGUGUGCUCUGCCCAGGAGGGGGAGGAGGAGGAAGGCUUGCAAAUGUGAACUCUGAAAGGGCUGCUGCACUUCUGGAAGCUUCCACGUCAUGUCACUUGUCCAGGCUAGUGGAGGCAGAGGCUCCCUGAGGGCAGAGUGAGUAGCUACUACACUGUCACGACCUCAGAGCCAGACCCUCCGCACUGACCCCUCCUGCUCAUCCGGCCUGCUUCCCAGGGCUCCAGCAUGCCUCCAAAGAGAGAACGUUAGCCCCUUGGCUCAUGAGGUAGGCGCGUAUGUUGACCUGGGUCUGCCAAGGUGAUUCUGCCUUCUGAUUGUUCUAGAAGCUCUGAUGGAGCAGCUCCUGAUGAAAGAUGCCAGACCUAAGAGUUCUGAAACGACCCCAGUUCACAGACCUCGUGAGAGAACGGCAAUGUCCCAGUUCCCUUGGAUGCUGUGUUUUUCCUUAUAUCCAUUCUGCAAAGAUCCACUGAACUUCUACCAGGACCUAGGGCCUGGGGUGACAGAGUUGGCUGCCCUAAGGAUCUCACAGGCUAUGAGGGAAGCAGACAAAGGCCAAGGGAUUAUUGCUAUUUGCUUUUGGAGGAGGGGACUCUACUGACGCUAGAAGAUUUACAAGUUGUCCAGAUAAAGAAGUAGGUAUGUGUUUGAGUGGGUGGGAGGUGGGCAGGGCAAGGGGUGGAGGAUGGAGAGGAAGCAGAUUUAAAUUCUAAGCAGAAAAGCAGCAUUCAAAAAAAGAAAACAGCUUUCUACAAAGGCAGUAUUAGGCCAGGGGCUGGCAAACCACAGCUUAUAGGCCAAUUCCAGCUUACUUCCUGUUUUUGUUAAUAAAGUUUUAUUGGCACACAGCCACGGUCAUUCAUUUAUGUAUUAUCACUGGCUGCUUUUGAGCAACAGUGGCAGAGUUGACUAGUCACAGCACGGCCCUCAAAGCCUAAAAUAUUUACCAUCUGAGCCCUUAUGGAAAAAAAUUUGCCAACUUCUCCUCUAGAUCUAUCCUUUAAUUCUGGAACCCAUAAGUCUAGAAUCCAGCGUGGUUUUCUAGAGCUCCCUGUAAGAGUAACAUUUGUGUAGGGAUUUAGACGUUUACAGUGAGAUUUUGCAUCAAUUAUCCCAUUUAAUCCUUCAACAAGCCUGUGUGAGGUUAAUGGUAAUUUUAUCCCAGUUUUGCAGAUGAAAAAACUAAGACAAAGGGAAAUAAAGAGACUUGCUGAAGACCACAUGGCUGGGAGAUAGCCGAGUCCCAGGCAGCCUGAUUCUAACAUUCCAUGGUCUUUCCACCACAUUAACCUACAGAUGUUUCUCUGUCACACAUUCCACCACUGAGCUGUCCUCCCUGACAAGCCAUUUCCCUCCUCCUUCCUAAUAUCUCUGCUGCCACCAAGGAAGGCUUUUGUCCAUUGUGCUGCCUUAGUGGGAGAGAGGGUUUGGAGGAGAAUCGAAUUUCCUUUCUGCAUCUGUUUGCGGAGCCUGGUGCACCCUGGGAUGCUAACGAACAGUGACAGAUGAGCUUCAGUUGGCUGGCGCGGGUGAAGAACCACUGGACCAGGCAAAAGAAAGCAUCAUCAGAGAUGAGCCAGGGAGGAGGAGAGAGGCUUCACUUCAUGAAAGCCUCCAGCAUCCAGCAGAAACCCGCCGCAGCACCCUGACGAUGUGCUCUGCAGUCUUCAGAGUGUGUUGCAUCCAUUAUCUCCCGUGACCUGCAGACAGGCUCGAGAAGCAGGCUGAUGUGAGGUCACCAAGCCCUGCGCGUGCGGCCCCUCAAAUGCCUCUCGCGUCCGUUCCUUCUUCUCCGUUGCUCCGCCACUGCCCUUUGUAUAUCUCUUGGGGAUAUUGCAAUAGCCUCUCAUGGUCUCGUGCUCCCAGCCCGUGCCCUCUCGUCCGCUCUUGCUGUCUGAAUGAUCUUUUUGUACCGCAAAUUUUUUCAUCCUGCGGUUGGUGUCAUAGCCUCCAACAGCCCCACAAGCUAUAGACUGAAGUCUCAACUCCCGUGCAUUCAGGGACUGCGCCCUCUCUCUACAAGCCCCUUUCCUUGGAGUUUCCACCAUAGCCCCACCGUCCAGUCUUUGGAGGUGAUGCUGUGAUUUCUGAAUACACCAAGUUCUUCCAGGGGCCGUGCCUCUGCUUGGUCAUGAGCUCAGGCUGGACCUCUGGCCUCUCUCAUCCUGCUGACCGGCUCUUAUGCUUCUUUAACACCAGCUCAGCAUCACCCACUUCAGGGGUCCCCUGCCCACCUGGCUGCCAGUGUUACCAGAGGGCUUAUACCGAAGGCUGUUGCAUUUCUCACCACCUGAGAGUCUCCUGGGUCCUUCCUGCACCAGCCUCCUCCACCACGUUGGGAGCUCGUCGGGCCUACGAGUCAUGCCCCCUCACUGCCUUAUGCCCUCCACCCAGCGUGGUUCUGGCACCUUGUAGGGACUCAACUGGCACUGGUGAAAUCGAGUUUACAGCUGCCCAAGAGCCUUGGACCAGCAGGGCCAUUGGAAAGCGAAGGCCUGGAAGAAUGAGGCUCACAGAUCACCGGAGACACUUUGAUUCAUGGAAAAACCCAUGACUCUUCCCUCCCAGGAGAUUCACCAAUUCUUCCAGAGCAUGAGGUUCGCAAAGGUUUCAAGUUUUACAGUAAGGAUCCAGGGAGCCAUAGUGAAGACCAGAAUCUGUAGUCCCACAAGCUGGGACAUUACUUGGAAUAAGGAUCUUGGCAGACGUAAUUAUUGGAAGAAUCUUGAGACGAGCUUAUCCUGGAGGAGGGUGGACCCUCGAUCCAGUGGCAAGUGUCCCUACCAGAGACAGAAAGGAGAAGACGCACAGACACAUGAGAGAAGGCCUUGUGAAGAUUCCCGCGAAGACAAAGACAGAGGUUGGAGUGAGGGUCCAUAAGCCAGAGGAUGCCAGGGAUUGCUGACAAUCACAGAAGCUAGGAGAGGGACCUAGAAUGGAUUUUCUCUCAGAGCUUCCAGAAGGAACCAAUCCUGCUGACACUUCUGGCCUCUAGAACUGUCAGAGAAUAAAGUUCUCUUACUUCAAGCCACCCGACUGUUGUCAUUUGUUACCUAGGCAGCCCUAGGAAGUGAAUACAACUGUACAGUGUAAGAAUACAGGGGAAGCCCACAAAGGCCAUAAGGGACCAGCAGGUCAGGGGGCCCUUGGUCCUUACCAUCAUGUGUGGGUUCCCCACUCUCCUUCUCACCCUGGCAGCUCUCAGCCCCUCGGUCUCUCUGCUCUGACUUCCAGCUGCCACCAGCCCACCAAUUCCCCCUCCUCUGUGUGCCUCCAUCUCAGGCCCGCACGCGGGGGCUUUGCUUCGCUGGAGGCUCUCUGCAGCCUGAGCUGCGUCUGUCUGCUUGUUGGUCUUUCCAUGUUUUACAUAUACCGACCAGCCAACUCUCUGACUAUAUUCAAAGUAUCCAAGAGAGGUGAUCUGGUGGUUUAGCUCACCACAUGA
Long non-coding RNA from Aethalodelphis obliquidens (Pacific white-sided dolphin), 9912 nucleotides. RefSeq lists it as uncharacterized. Lineage: Eukaryota; Metazoa; Chordata; Mammalia; Artiodactyla; Delphinidae. The record is from RefSeq and is a predicted model, not a curated record. The transcript is spliced from 3 exons.